Molecule: ribosomal RNA, 253 nt
Filed under: uncultured bacterium
Lineage: Bacteria
Description: partial 16S ribosomal RNA
Rfam family: Bacterial small subunit ribosomal RNA
Source: RNAcentral
UACGUAGGGGGCAAGCGUUGUCCGGAAUCAUUGGGCGUAAAGCGCGCGUAGGCGGCCCGGUAAGUCCGUUGUGAAAGUCAAAGGCUCAACCUUUGAACGCCGAUGGAUACUGCCGGGCUAGAGUCCGGAAGAGGCGAGUGGAAUUCCUGGUGUAGCGGUGAAAUGCGCAGAUAUCAGGAAGAACACCAAUGGCGAAAGCAGCUCUCUGGGACGGUACUGACGCUGAGACGCGAAAGCGUGGGGAGCGAACAGG